RNAcentral lists this long non-coding RNA (457 nucleotides) under Elaeis guineensis (African oil palm). Its description in RNAcentral is "long non-coding RNA (EGUI_LNC005863)". The record is from RNAcentral. Lineage: Eukaryota; Viridiplantae; Streptophyta; Magnoliopsida; Arecales; Arecaceae.
UAGAACGUGACGCCAAUCGAAAAGCAUCACAGGGGCAUAGCUGCGGUAUAUGAUGCCCAGCUCAGUCUGCCACGACUUGCACCAUCUUCUAAUGGACUUGGUGUAGCUGGAUGGUAUCUCGAUACGGAGAUGCUGUCCUGAGUGCUCGCGUCUCUGACGCUCUAGAACGAAGUUCUUCGAUGGACCUCGCCCUUGCACUAUCGAUAAAGAUUGGUCUGAAAUAAUAAUAAAUAAAUCAUUAGUAUAAUAGCUAUCUAAAUAAAAAAUUAAAUUUUAUUAUAUAAAAAGUAUAAUAAUAUCACUCGAAUCCAUCUCACUAGGACCCGCCUCAUUGGGACCCACCUCACUGGGACCUACCAGUGCAGGAUCCUCUAGCAAUGGGGCCGGUGUAGCAAUGGAGAUCGAUGAAGGUGCCUCAACCUCUUCGAUAGACUGUGAAUGCAAAUAUCGUUGUUUG